UAUUGCACAAUGGGGGAAACCCUGAUGCAGCGACGCCGCGUGAGCGAAGAAGUGCCUCGGUAUGUAAAGCUCUAUCAGCAGGGAAGAAAGUGACAGUACCUGACUAAGAAGCCCCGGCUAACUACGUGCCAGCAGCCGCGGUAAUACGUAGGGGGCAAGCGUUAACCGGAUUCACUGGGCGUAAAGGGAGCGCAGGCGGCGCGGCAAGUCUGAUGUGAAAGCCCGGGGCUCAACCCCGGGUCUGCAUUGGAAACUGUCGAGCUAGAGUGUCGGAGGGGUAAGCGGAAUUCCUAGUGUAGCGGUGAAAUGCGUAGAAAUUAGGAGGAACACCAGUGGCGAAGGCGGCUUACUGGACGAUGACUGACGCUGAGGCUCGAAAGCGUGGGGAGCAAAC
This 394-nucleotide ribosomal RNA is filed under the name uncultured bacterium. RNAcentral describes it as "bacterial SSU rRNA". It matches the Rfam family "Bacterial small subunit ribosomal RNA", at positions 362 to 773 of the family's 1533-position model. The record is from RNAcentral.